UACGUAGGUGGCAAGCGUUAUCCGGAUUUAUUGGGCGUAAAGGGAACGCAGGCAGUCUUUUAAGUCUGAUGUGAAAGCCUUCGGCUUAACCGGAGUAGUGCAUUGGAAACUGGGAGACUUGAGUGCAGAAGAGGAGAGUGGAACUCCAUGUGUAGCGGUGAAAUGCGUAGAUAUAUGGAAGAACACCAGUGGCGAAAGCGGCUCUCUGGACGGCAACUGACGCUGAGGCUCGAAAGCGUGGGGAGCAAACAGG
This 253-nucleotide ribosomal RNA is filed under the name uncultured bacterium. Its description in RNAcentral is "partial 16S ribosomal RNA". It matches the Rfam family "Bacterial small subunit ribosomal RNA", at positions 524 to 776 of the family's 1533-position model. The record is from RNAcentral.